This 244-nucleotide ribosomal RNA is filed under the name uncultured bacterium. RNAcentral's name for it is "partial 16S ribosomal RNA". It matches the Rfam family "Bacterial small subunit ribosomal RNA", at positions 527 to 770 of the family's 1533-position model. The record is from RNAcentral.
GUAGGGGGCAAGCGUUAUCCGGAUUCACUGGGUGUAAAGGGAGCGUAGACGGCGAGACAAGUCUGGAGUGAAAGGCCGGGGCCCAACCCCGGGUCUGCAUUGGAAACUGUCGAGCUGGAGUGUCGGAGGGGUAAGCGGAAUUCCUAGUGUAGCGGUGAAAUGCGUAGAUAUUAGGAGGAACACCAGUGGCGAAGGCGGCUUACUGGACGAUGACUGACGCUGAGGCUCGAAAGCGUGGGGAGCA